CGUAGGCACCUCCUUGCUGUGACCGCUCCUCCCCCAGACCGCCAACGAGGAUGCGCGGGCGUCGUUAGGCGGGACGCGCCAGUUGCUGGGAGGCCGGCAGAGGAGGCUCCUGGGGAAGGAAGUCACGUGACCGAACGCUGCGCUUCCGGGCGAGUCCCCGCCCUGGAGGGACAGCCUCCUUCAGGUUUUGGGACGAACUUGCUCCUUAAAACGCCUCUGGCAAAAAUCUGGGGAACAGUGGCAGAAAGUUUAGUUGGAAGAAAUAGGGCGAAGGCACACUUCCGUUCAGUUUAGAGAAACGGAAGCCAGGAAAGGAACGAGGGCAACUUUAGUGAUAAAAUCCAUUUCACUGCUUGUUUCCAUCGCUUGGUAACUUGGAAAUUGCUCCCACAUACAUCUUUUCAGGUGCUAGAGACCACUUCCUGAGAGCUGGCGUUUGGGAUGGGCGUGGAAAGAUGGAAGGAUGCAGACCUGGAGUAAGAGGGCCCGACUCUCACUGCUUCCCUGUGAUUCCUUGUGGUCCAUGACAUCCUGGUGAGGAGUGAAGAUGAGAUCUAGCACCUGGUGGGGGCUCCUCAGGAAUGACCUAAGUCAUACAAAGCCCUUGCUGUUUGUUUUGAGGAAAAGAGACUUCAGCCCCAGUAACACCCAAGACAGGUGUCAAGAUCUUAAUUUUGUUUUAAGGGAAUCAUCAAGAAAAAUCCACUAAGUAGAAGUCUUGCUAAUUAUAAACAGCCAAUCUUCCCCCGUGUCAUGUACCAGCAAGGACUCUUCAGAAUGGCUGGCGAGGAUGAGCGUAUGCUGACGCGUUCCUUGUUCCCUCAAAGCAGUGCACAGCCAAGCUUGAAAAAUCUUUAGAGACGAGAAGUCUUCAGUCCGUACUUCCCCAUUUAGCUUGGCAUGGUGUACUACAAUAAAGUGCUUAUUUUUCAA
Heterocephalus glaber (naked mole-rat) is the source of this 933-nucleotide non-coding RNA. The record is from RefSeq and is a predicted model, not a curated record. NCBI's taxonomy places the organism in Eukaryota, Metazoa, Chordata, Mammalia, Rodentia, Bathyergidae.